UGAGGAAUUUUCCGCAAUGGGCGAAAGCCUGACGGAGCAAUACCGCGUGAGGGAUGAAGGCCUAUGGGUUGUAAACCUCUUUUCUCAAGGAGGAAGAUCUGACGUUACUUGAGGAAUAAGCAUCGGCUAACUCUGUGCCAGCAGCCGCGGUAAUACAGGGGAUGCAAAGUGUUAUCCGGAAUUAUUGGGCGUAAAGCGUCUGUAGGUUGAUAACUAAGUCUUUUGUUAAACCUUCGGGCUCAACCCGAAAUCUGCAAAAGAAACUAUUUAUCUUGAGUAUAGUAGAGGUAAAGGGAAUUUCCAGUGGAGCGGUGAAAUGCGUAGAGAUUGGAAAGAACACCAACAGCGAA
This 350-nucleotide ribosomal RNA is filed under the name uncultured bacterium. RNAcentral describes it as "bacterial SSU rRNA". It matches the Rfam family "Bacterial small subunit ribosomal RNA", at positions 355 to 719 of the family's 1533-position model. The record is from RNAcentral.